GCCGGGUGGGGUGGUGUGGGUCUGUAAUCCCAGUGACUUGGGAGGCUGAGGCAGGAGAAUCGUGAGUUCAAAGCCAGCCUCAGCAAAAAAACAAAAAGCGAGGCACUAAGUGACUUAGUGAGACCCUGUCUCUA
RNAcentral lists this small RNA (134 nucleotides) under Marmota monax (woodchuck). The record is from RNAcentral. Lineage: Eukaryota; Metazoa; Chordata; Mammalia; Rodentia; Sciuridae.